GACGAACGCUGGCGGCGUGCCUAACACAUGCAAGUCGAGCGAUGAAGUUUCCUUCGGGAAACGGAUUAGCGGCGGACGGGUGAGUAACACGUGAGCAACCUGCCUCAAAGAGGGGGAUAGCCUUCCGAAAGGGAGAUUAAUACCGCAUAAUAUCAGAAUUUCACAUGAUUUUCUGAUUAAAGGAGUAAUCCGCUUUGAGAUGGGCUCGCGGCGCAUUAGCUAGUUGGUGAGGUAACGGCUCACCAAGGCGACGAUGCGUAGCCGACCUGAGAGGGUGAUCGGCCACAUUGGGACUGAGACACGGCCCAGACUCCGUACGGGAGGCAGCAGUGGGGAAUAUUGCGCAAUGGACGAAAGUCUGACGCAGCAACGCCGCGUGGGUGAUGAAGGUCUUCGGAUUGUAAAGCCCUGUCUUCGAGGACGAUAAUGACGGUACUCGAGGAGGAAGCCACGGCUAACUACGUG
RNAcentral lists this ribosomal RNA (465 nucleotides) under uncultured bacterium. RNAcentral describes it as "bacterial SSU rRNA". It matches the Rfam family "Bacterial small subunit ribosomal RNA", at positions 28 to 507 of the family's 1533-position model. The record is from RNAcentral.